UACGGAGGGGGCAAGCGUUGCUCGGAAUUAUUGGGCGUAAAGGGUAGGUAGGUGGUCUUAUUUGUCUGGGGUGAAAGCCUUGAGCUUAACUCGAGAAGUGCCCCAGAAACGGUGAGACUAGAGUCCUGGAGAGGGUCGUGGAAUUCCCGGUGUAGCGGUGAAAUGCGUAGAGAUCGGGAGGAACACCAGAGGCGAAGGCGGCGACCUGGACAGGCACUGACACUCAACUACGAAAGCGUGGGGAGCAAACAGG
This 253-nucleotide ribosomal RNA is filed under the name uncultured bacterium. RNAcentral describes it as "partial 16S ribosomal RNA". It matches the Rfam family "Bacterial small subunit ribosomal RNA", at positions 524 to 776 of the family's 1533-position model. The record is from RNAcentral.